GCAUCCUGGGGCUUUCUGUGGCUCUCCCAUCAGUGCCCUGGGGCUGGCAUAUGCGACACCUCCUCUGCCUAGGGCAUUCAGGCAUUCUUCAGUACUUGGUGAGCACCUCCUAGUGCCAAGCUCUGUCCUGGUCACAGGAGAGCACUCCUAUCCAUGUGUUGUCCCUGUCCUCACUGCGCUUUGGGCCGGAGAGGAGCUCACUGUCUGAUCCUUUUCCCCGACUGUGGCUUAAGGGGUUUCGUCUCUUGCUAGAGCCCUUCUAGGCAGGCAGCAGGUCCUGGUUUGUGAGCAAGGGGCUCCUCCUCCAUUUUGGAGCCUCGGCUGCCCUGCCUCCCCGGUAAUCUGGUAUUCUGGUAGUGCCUCUCUGGGCCCUGGUUUAAAAGGCCGAGAGAAGCUGUAUUCUGGAGAUCAGCUCCAGGUUCUCCCGCAGAGAGCAAGCUCCAGGCACAGGCAAAGGGUGUGGCUUCAGAGAAGAGCGAGGAUCUUGCCAUCUCUUUUACAGAUCCGUGGAAGGCAGAGAGAAUUUGGGAACCUCUGUGCUAUAAGCAUGGAAAAUUGGGACUCAGGUAAAAAGGCUGGUUCCUGGUCGCACAGCUGGUCAUGGGCACUUUGGCAAAGGAGUGUGAGUUUUGGGGAAGCUCAAGGAAGAGGUACCAGGUAGAGAGAGGGCCAGGGCUGAGUUCACGGGCUCUUUCUAAAUGGAAAUGUCUCACAUUCAGCUGUUGUCUGCCUUUGAGUCACACAGAACCACUUGCAGGAAGAACUCUAGAGAAUUUGGGAAGAAAGGGGGAGAGGACAGACAAAAGAUGCAUUUUUCUUUCAAGAAGCAGGAAAAUGUAAGGAAAAUUGAAGGUGUUCUCAAGUGUGUCUGCUGCUGCCUGACACAGGUUAACCCCGUCGCAGGUCACUCCGCUCUGUUAAUUGCAUCCUAACCUUCCUCGGCUCUUCGGCAGCGAAAUCGCAGCAGAGGAGAUGGAGCAGCUUCGUGCGCAUUGCUCAUUUGCGCCAACGUGAAAAGAACUGCCAGGAUGCCCAGGACACCAGCUCCCUGGCUUCUGCGGUGCUUGCACAGUCCUGAAUCAGCCCGAGAGCUGUGGAUCUGCGUCCCCUGGCUGCAUAGCCGACUGCCGGCUCCAUGGAGGGGCCUGUGCCGGAGAACGCACAUGUUGACUUAUUUCUUCAGUCUAGGCCUUUCUUGGCCCCCUUGGUUAUUCAUUCUAGAUGAUACAACUCUUAUUUCAGUUCAAAUGUCUCACGGAAGAGGCAUUGAAGACAGAGUGGAUGCCCGUGUUUGUUGGCAGUAGGUAGUAUUUACCACUCCGGUUGUAGUAAAAGAACAAAAGGAGAAAUUACACCUAUUUCUCAUAUUUAAGGGAAAAGCAAUUAAAUCACCAAAGUCAGAUUCUCG
This 1408-nucleotide long non-coding RNA is filed under the name Homo sapiens (human). Its description in RNAcentral is "HSALNT0304649". Lineage: Eukaryota; Metazoa; Chordata; Mammalia; Primates; Hominidae. The record is from RNAcentral.